Amblyraja radiata (thorny skate) is the source of this 71-nucleotide long non-coding RNA. RefSeq lists it as uncharacterized. The transcript is spliced from 3 exons. NCBI's taxonomy places the organism in Eukaryota, Metazoa, Chordata, Chondrichthyes, Rajiformes, Rajidae. The record is from RefSeq and is a predicted model, not a curated record.
UCCCAGACAGAGGAGCCAGAUUCCCAGACGGAGCAAAUCUCCCAGACGGAGGAGCAAGAAAGAGGGAGACA